Long non-coding RNA from Cyprinus carpio carpio, 2733 nucleotides. NCBI's taxonomy places the organism in Eukaryota, Metazoa, Chordata, Actinopteri, Cypriniformes, Cyprinidae. The record is from Ensembl.
AAACUAACUUGGAAGUUUGUAGAAUUGCAUGGGAAAACAAUAUGUCCAGCUAUAGACAGGCUCUAAAAGCUGCCAGGACUGAGUACAACUCAAACUCAUAGAAAAUAACCAAAACAAUCCAAGGUUUUUAUUCAGCACAGUGGCUAGAUUAACAAAUAACUAGACGCCGACCGAUCUAAAUAUUCCCUUACAGUUUAUAGUAAUGACUUUAUGAAUUUCUUCACUGAUAAAAUAGAUAACAUCAGAAAUACAAUAACAAAUGUAGAUUCUACCCAAAGAAAAACUGCAGUGCUUCACAACUAUAUAACAGGAAGAGCUAAAUAAACUUAUAACUGCAUCUAAACCAACAACAUGUUUAUUAGAUCCUGUGUUGCCCUUAAGGCAGUUAAUAAUUUAAUAAAUAUGUUAAAUGGUUUAAAAUGUUUAAAUUAAGCAUUUCUAAGAGUUUCUUAUAAGUAUUUCAUGUGUAUUUGUAAGUUUUAUUUAAAAAAUAUUAGCGGACAUUUUGAUUCCGCUCGGCCGCGUUAACUUCCGGUUCGGCCGCGAUAACUUCCGGUUUCGGUUUCAUGGUAAUCAGAGCAGGCGAAAUCCAGCAUGGUACGGUCAGCAAUCUGUCGCCAUUCUCACUAAAGCACUGUCAAGGCAAUGCCGUAAGUUUAUAUAUGUGUUUAUAAGGAUCUUAAGUAAUGUAUUUUUGUAUUGUCUAGUUGGGAAAUGCAUUUUAAAGUGUUGAUGAACGACUUUUAUUUUCGUCUGUCUAAAGCUCAGUUUUUCUAAGAGCAUGUUGUGUAUACUUACAGUUUUCACCAUCUGGAGAAGAAAUUAAAAUGCAAAAACGUCCUUUGUGGUCCUGGUCUUCUUCAGUGGUUUAUCUACGUGUUCAUUUGGCAACAUAACAGUGAAAAGGCAGCAUUCAGAGCUUCAUCGUGGUCAAAAGGGCAGCUAGCAACAGAUCUGCUACAAAUACUUCAGGUCUUUCAGUCUCAUCUGCAAGCAGUGCCGCUCGUGCUCGAGCCAAAGCAGAAGCAGCUAGGUUUUCACCAUCUGGAGAAGAAAUUAAAAUGCAAAAACGUCCUUUGUGGUCCUGGUCUUCUUCAGUGGUUUAUCUACGUGUUCAUUUGGCAACAUAACAGAUCCUGUUCCCACUAAAUUACUGAAAGACAGGGGCGGACUGGCCAUCGGGAGCACCGGGACAUUUCCCGGUGGCCUGAUGGUCAUUCUGGCCUGCCGGCUGCCGCUGUGCAGUCGAUCAGGCUGACGUGCAAUAGGCUGGUUACGGUAUGCAACUGCGAAUUAAUUUACGGACUUAUGAAUCUACAAAUCAUGCGAUCGCGGAGUGAAAAUGACCCAACAUCACCGAAGCAGUGCCUAAUUGGCUAUAUCCAGAGGCAGGCUUCAUCUUAGAAAACCGUGCAAAAAAAUGGAGCAUAAAAGCAAAUCAGGAGCAGAGAGGAAACGUAUAAAAAGGAGAAAAGCCCUGGCAACAGAUGCAGCAAGUUGAUGCAAAAUCCCAGCCAUGUUCGCCAGUAAGGCAGCAGGUCUGUCAGAAUUACAUUUACAUUAUGUUUACUAGGGGUGGGACGGUUCACUGAAAAAAAAUCGAACUGUUCGGUUCUCCACACACGGUUCGGAACGCGCUGGGACCGCGGUUCAACUUAAAUCUGAGAAAGCAUCUGUUUACUAUAAAUAACACGUAAAACAAACAGGGUUCAGUUAAUAUAUGUUUCUGUUGAUGGAUGUACAUUCUGGCUUCACAGACAUUACAACAACAGAGAUGAGAAAAAAUAAAUAAAUAAAUAAAUAAAAAAUCGUGGACAAACCAUUCACUCUUGUUCAAUACGAAUACGAACACUGGAUCAGUGCAUUCUUUUAAAGUGACAGUCUUUAUAUUAAUCGAACAGCAACAACAAAGAAAUCACUCACUGCUCUUGAUUGAAAAGCUUUUGUAACUUUAAUAAAGAAUAAUCUUUAAUUUAUACAGUCCAAAAUGCAAUGCUGUUUUACAUUUGAUUACUUUAUUAAAUUUCUGUAUAAAAACUAAUGCUAUACCUACCUGAAAGUCAGUUUAUUUUAUUUGUAUCUUUACUCUAUUGUAUUUAUUUGUGCUGUUGCUUGUAGCUAGAAUAUUCUAAAUAAUAUGAUAAAAUAUACAGUAUAUUUUUUGAAAGUAUAGUUUUUCCAUAAACAUAGCACAUAAAACGGUACCGAAACAGUGACUCUAAAACCGUGAAACAAACCGAACCGUGAAAAAGUUGAACUGUUCCACCCCUUAUAUUUACGUAAUCAUUUGGCAGACGGACGCUUUCUUCCAAAGCGACUUACAAUUGAUAAAAACUAUUCUAAAAAAAAUAUUACAAAUAUAUAUGAUAGAAGUUUUAAAAGAGCAUCUUAAUGACAAACUAGCACACUGUUUUACAUAUGGGGAUACAGUAUUUUUUUAGUGCCAAAUUUGACCAGAAAUGAAGAAAUUCAUGACAAAUGACUUGCUUCUUGCUUCAGACCAAGGCUGCAUCUCAUUGCUAGUUUUACUUGAUCUUAGUGCUGCAUUCGACACCAUAGAUCAUGACAUACUCAUAGAUUGAUUACAAAACUAUACAGGUAUUCAAGGGCAGGCUUUAAGAUGGCUUAGAUCCUACCUGUCCAAUCGCUAUCACUUUAUUUAUUUAAACGGUGAGUCAUCUCAAUCAUCACCAGUAAAGUAUGGGGUGCCACAAGGAUCUGUCCUAGGUCCUC